RNAcentral lists this ribosomal RNA (543 nucleotides) under uncultured bacterium. RNAcentral's name for it is "bacterial SSU rRNA". It matches the Rfam family "Bacterial small subunit ribosomal RNA", at positions 338 to 873 of the family's 1533-position model. The record is from RNAcentral.
CCUACGGGAGGCAGCAGUGGGGAAUCUUGCGCAAUGGGCGAAAGCCUGACGCAGCCAUGCCGCGUGAAUGAUGAAGGUCUUAGGAUUGUAAAAUUCUUUCACCGAGGACGAUAAUGACGGUACUCGGAGAAGAAGCCCCGGCUAACUUCGUGCCAGCAGCCGCGGUAAUACGAAGGGGGCUAGCGUUGCUCGGAAUUACUGGGCGUAAAGGGAGCGUAGGCGGAUAGUUUAGUCAGAGGUGAAAGCCCAGGGCUCAACCUUGGAAUUGCCUUUGAUACUGGCUAUCUUGAGUACGGAAGAGGUAUGUGGAACUCCGAGUGUAGAGGUGAAAUUCGUAGAUAUUCGGAAGAACACCAGUGGCGAAGGCGACAUACUGGUCCGUUACUGACGCUGAGGCUCGAAAGCGUGGGGAGCAAACAGGAUUAGAUACCCUGGUAGUCCACGCUGUAAACGAUGAGUGCUAGUUGUCGGCGAUGCAUGCAUGUCGGUGGUACGCGAGCUAACGACAUUAAGUACACUCCGCCGUCGGGGAGGUACGGUCGG